Molecule: long non-coding RNA, 2678 nt
Organism: Brassica napus (rape)
Lineage: Eukaryota; Viridiplantae; Streptophyta; Magnoliopsida; Brassicales; Brassicaceae
Exons: 6
Source: RefSeq, a predicted model, not a curated record
UAAUAUAUUUUAAAUGAUAUAUAUAUAUAUAUAAUUUAUAUAUUAAUAUUUAUUAAAUGAGACUUUUUACUUAUAUAAAUUUGUAAUAAUUUGUAUCUUGUCAUAACAUAAAUUAUAAACCAUAGAGCACAAAAAAUCCAAUGUGAGAUUUAACAGCUAUAGUCAUGUAUACUCAUUUAAAAAAAAUACAAAAUAUAAUAUGUAUGAAAAAAUUAAAAUUUUCAUUAUAUAGUUAAAGAGUUUGUUUAAUUUAUUUUAAUAAGUUAAAAUCUAAAAAAUGAUAAGAGUAUAGACUAGUUUUUAUGAAAUUUUUAUUAUUCAUACAUUAAUUGUCAUAUAUACUUCAGCCACAUUAGAUAAUUUCGUAAUUUUUAUUUAAGGAAAUUAUGAAGAAUUUUAAUAACUAAUUUAUGAUUAAUUUAAUAAAAAAUUAUUUAAACAAGAAUGUUGCACCAUUUCUUUGACUAAUAAUAUUUUAGUUUUAUUUUAAAUUUUGACUAACAGUAUGUUAUCAUAUAUUUAUCUAAUAAUAAUUUAAUCAAUUUAAUAGGUGGUAUAACUAGAUUUCUUAAAUUUUAUGAGAUUUUCCUUAAAUAAAAAUAUUUUAAAUUUUUUUAACAUGAUACAAAGCCAUCGUAUAUCUUUCUAAAGCUUUUGCGAACUUCAAUGCUUCGUUGAGAUUUGUGUUUGCUUAAUUUUCUCCAUUUGCGUUUUUCUUUUCAUAUUUUUUUUUCUUUGCACUUUUACAUUUAAAAUUAUAAAGGGUAUAUGGUCGUUGUCAGUGUAAACCAUAAUUUUAAUAACUUAAAACACUCAUAUUAGUUUGCAUUUAACCAACCUGCAAUUAAUAUUAGAAAAAUAUCCACAUAUUAAAAAUAGUAGUUACAAAACAUAUAUCAUUAAUAUACUAUUAAAGAAUCAUAAAUUAAAUAGUCUAUUUAAAUUUAUGUGCUAUUAAAAGUAUAUCAAAAACUGAAUUAUAUUUUUAAAUAUUAUUUAUAUGGGUUUUUAUCGUGUCAGAAACUAUCGAAUCGCGGAUUAAUGACAAGUUUUCUGAUUUUAUUGGGUUUUAUCUGGUUUUCCAAUAUUAUAUUUUAACUGAAUCUGAACUGGAUUAUAUACGGAUCACCGGAUUUACCGGUUCGAUCGUAUGUCUGAAUCACAAAAACACUGUUAAAAAUUAUUAAACCCCAUAAAAUAUAUACUAUUAAUUUAGCCCAAAAUCUACCAAGUAAAUCUUACGUCUAACCAAUUCAACAGAUGUAACUCUUAUAAAAUGAAUAUCUAAUUAUAUAAAGUACACUUUGAAUCCCUCCCACAGUGUCCAGCUAUGAUGCCAUGUCACUAUUUCAGAUGCUCUCGAGCUGACACGUGGCUAUUUUAACAAAAACACAGCGGUUCAUUAAAGCUUCGUUGUACAUGCAUCACUUCUUUAAAGAUCUGUCGUCAUGGGUUUUGUUUGUAAAUAUUGUGCAAUUGGGCUUUAAAUUGGAAAUUAUCCGGGCCCGGCGUGAAGGAGACCCUCUAACCCUAAUCCGCUGCAGUGAUGAAACGAAGUCUGUCUAUCCUCUACGUGCGACGCGCUGCAGCGACGUUCACGAUUUCUCACCAUCUGAAACAGUCUGAGUAAAGGCUACUUGAUUACUCCCAUUGAUUCACACCCCCACUCCGUCUUCUUCAAUGCUGUUUGAUCUGAGAUGUUGUGGUUUCGGUAUAAAUACGUGUGAGAUUUCCUUUCGUUCAUCUCAUCAUAUCUUCAUAUCUCUUAAAUCUCAUACUAAUAGAUCGUGUUAUGGCUAACUCAAGGUUUUUUUUCUCUGAUCUGAGGUCCGGCAAGUGCUCCUCCGUCGUCGAGGCGAGGCUCCUGUGGUUUCGGUUCUGGGGAGACCAGAAAUGUUAAGCCUGGUGGUGAACUGGUGUGGGUCGAUAUGUUAAUGGUUGACGUGAAUGUGACCCAUAUAUAUAUAUAUAUAUAUAUCUAUGACGUAUAUUUCAAACUUCGCUAUCGUGUUGAGAUGGCUAUUGCUGAUGAUACUGCUGCAGGAACAUUUGUUUGGUUUGAUGGUGUGAUGAAGAAACUACAUAAUCUCAGAGCAAGUGAGGCUGUUCAGAUGCUGGCUGAAGAUGGAGUGAACUCUGAAGACUCUAGGAGACUAGGAUACCUUCGUUCAUUUCAGAUAUGGAAAGAAAGUCAAUACACUUUCCAGGUGAGGGUCACUGCUUAUAACUUACCCGGCAAUCAUAAGACGUUUACCAUAACAUGAUAUAUGAAGCAACGUUUCAGAAAGAAACAACAAUAUUGAUAUUCAGCAUUGUUGAUGAGCUUGGUCGUGUGCGAGACGAUGACGUGGGUGACAAUGGAGGUAACGAGGAUGAUGAUGACAACAUGCCUAAUGGCAAGCCAGCUCCUGUUGGGUUUGCAUCUGGAAGGGCCACUGGUAAUGGAUCAGAUGGGUCUAUACGGUACUGCGCGUAAGAAUCCGGAUGUCUCAUCCUCUAAGGUGGUCAAGAAGGCGCGUGUUGCUUAGGAUGUAGCAGUAACAAAUUUUUGAUCAGAAUCUCAGUUUUAAUAAUACUUAUGCAUCUUUGUUUAAUUUCAAGUAUUUGGAUAUUUAUGUUUUAGAUAUUCCCAAUUAUAUGGGUACUUUUAAGUUUGUUUCAGUCUUUAUUCACUUUUA